UACGGGGGGGGCAAGCGUUGUUCGGAAUUACUGGGCGUAAAGGGCUCGUAGGCGGCCAACUAAGUCAGACGUGAAAUCCCCAGGCUCAACCUGGGAACUGCGUCUGAUACUGGUUGGCUUGAAUCCGGGAGAGGGAUGCAGAAUUCCAGGUGUAGCGGUGAAAUGCGUAGAUAUCUGGAGGAACACCGGUGGCGAAGGCGGCAUCCUGGACCAACACUGACGCUGAUGAGCGAAAGCCAGGGGAGCAAACGGG
This 253-nucleotide ribosomal RNA is filed under the name uncultured bacterium. RNAcentral's name for it is "partial 16S ribosomal RNA". It matches the Rfam family "Bacterial small subunit ribosomal RNA", at positions 524 to 776 of the family's 1533-position model. The record is from RNAcentral.